UACGUAGGGGGCAAGCGUUAUCCGGAAUUACUGGGUGUAAAGGGAGCGUAGACGGCAAUGCAAGUCCGGAGUGGAAUGCGGCAGCUCAACUGCCGAACUGCUCUGGAAACUGUAUGGCUUGAGUGCAGGAGGGGUAAGCGGAAUUCCUGGUGUAGCGGUGAAAUGCGUAGAUAUCAGGAGGAACACCGGUGGCGAAGGCGGCUUACUGGACUGUAACUGACGUUGAGGCUCGAAAGCGUGGGGAGCAA
This 248-nucleotide ribosomal RNA is filed under the name uncultured Lachnospiraceae bacterium. RNAcentral describes it as "partial 16S ribosomal RNA". It matches the Rfam family "Bacterial small subunit ribosomal RNA", at positions 524 to 771 of the family's 1533-position model. The record is from RNAcentral. Lineage: Bacteria; Bacillati; Bacillota; Clostridia; Lachnospirales; Lachnospiraceae.